UUUGUUGAAAUGUUGUGUAACUUUUAUAUACUGUAUACUGACUGUUUGCAAGCAGAUAUUCAUAAUUACUUUAUAAAAAACGUCUCGUAAUUGGCAAUUUGUAUUAACAUUAAAAUGAUAGUUCUUACAUUAAACCGUAUGCUGAUAAGUGUAAUGUGAAUGUUAUAAAGCAAUAUCACUACUAUAACUAUAGUGUCCAUGCCGACUUAUCAAUAAGCCUUCUUUAUUUGCUCGGGUGUAACAUUGUGCUGUAAAUGAGCCCGGAGAUAUGUCAUGCGUUAAACAGUAUGAUUGUAUGGUGUAAAUAUUCAAUAUGUCAUAAAACAAUAUCACUAUUUAGAAUAUAUUUUGAGUAGUGUGUUUAUGCCUCAACAAGUCUUGUUUACGCGACUAUCUGUUCGGGUGUAAAUGUAUCGAUGUAGUAUCGAUGUGCUGUAAAUGUGUCCGGAGAUUUGUAAUGUGUUAAUGUUUAGCAAUAAAUGUCCGGUAAUGGCCCGUUAACAAAGAUAUACCGCAUCUAUGUACCCAAUUAUCUUAUCUCAACUAUGCUUUACCGCCUUAGUAUUGCUUUAUAAGUUUGUUACUGUGGAGAAUACAUUAUAUUAAUUAUUAAAAACUUUUGUAGGAAUGUGGCAGCAUCACUCUCCUCUUCAGCGGGCAUUUGCAGAAAUGCGACGGACAUUCAUACAGGGUAAGUCACAUUUGCGGGCUUUUCUGUUUUAUUAGUAGACUUUUACUGAUGUUUUGCGUAGUAAUUUGGAAAAUACAAGAUGUAUAUAUAUAAACAUAUCUGUAUUUUCCGAAAAUACAUGAUACAAAUAAUGUUUUUAAUUUUUUUUUAGUAACGUGGCUUCAUCAUCAUUUACUCGCACGGGGGCAUGCAGAAACGAACCCGAAAUAAAUAAAGUGAUACAAUUUAUAUAUAUAUUUUUUAAGGAAUGUGUCUGCAACACCAACUUCGUCUGGUACUCGCACGUUUUGAACAAUGGCACGACAACAUUUAACUCCAUUCCCAAAGAGUUACAGUGUGUGAUGGUUUACAAAUGUAUACCUUAUUUUUUAUAUUUGGAAGUAUUUUUAGAUGCACACCAAACUUUCACAGCUGACAUUUAGAAUCAUUUUCUUUUAAUUAGAGCCAUAUUGUACUGGUCAUAUAGAAUAUUGUUACAUGUAUACAUAUUGUUACUUUAUUAUUUAUAAUUACAAUUAAGCUUCUUUGUUUAUAAUUACAAUAAAGCUUCUUAAAUCUA
This is a non-coding RNA of Misgurnus anguillicaudatus (oriental weatherfish), 1250 nucleotides long. Lineage: Eukaryota; Metazoa; Chordata; Actinopteri; Cypriniformes; Cobitidae. The record is from RefSeq and is a predicted model, not a curated record.